GUAGGGAAUAUUGGGCAAUGGUCGGAAGACUGACCCAGCCAUGCCGCGUGCAGGAAGACGGCCCUCUGGGUUGUAAACUGCUUUUAUCUGGGAAGAAAAAGGCCAUGCGUGGCAAAUUGCCGGUACCAGAUGAAUAAGCACCGGCUAACUCCGUGCCAGCAGCCGCGGUAAUACGGAGGGUGCGAGCGUUGUCCGGAUUUACUGGGUUUAAAGGGUGCGUAGGCGGCUGAUUAAGUCAGCGGUGAAAGACUUCGGCUUAACCGGAGCAGUGCCGUUGAUACUGGUUGGCUUGAGUGUCGGAGGGGUACAUGGAAUUGAUGGUGUAGCGGUGAAAUGCAUAGAUACCAUCAGGAACACCGAUAGCGAAGGCAUUGUACUGGCCGACAACUGACGCUGAUGCACGAAAGUGUGGGGAUCGAACAGGAUUAGAAACCCCAGUAGUCC
Molecule: ribosomal RNA, 444 nt
Filed under: uncultured bacterium
Lineage: Bacteria
Description: partial 16S ribosomal RNA
Rfam family: Bacterial small subunit ribosomal RNA
Source: RNAcentral